GUGGUUACACAUGCUGUACAUUUGUUCUUAAGAUAUAAACACUGUGAAUGUGACUGUAAAAAUAAAAGUUCAAUGUUUUAUUUUACUAUGGUACUAAUUUAAAAGGUGUUUGAACACAACAUUAUUUAUAAUUAUUCCUUAAUUAAUUUCAGGGUCUGUCGCAGUAACAUUUAAGUACUACAACCUUUUCUGACAUGCCCAUCUUGACUGAUCCCAUUGCAAGUUCAAGAGAUAUUGGAUGGUUGAGUACCAGUACUGGCUUUUGAUGCUGAGCACCAAGCAAGAUGGUAUAGAUUUUACAUAGAACAGAUAACAACAGAGUUUAAAUCCAGCCAGUCCUGCUGAUUAGACAAAUUAAAGACCUUUGCACUGGCUUGCUGGCAGUAUUACCCAAGUUAAUUAAUUAAUAUUUGCAGGGAGGUGGUUAUAAACUUUUGUGUACAGAAAAGAUGAAACGUUACUAUCACAUUAUCAUAGACAAACAGUAAAAGAUACGAUCAACUUUAAAGCAGAAUAUAAAGUACCUGGUGGCUUUGCAAGAACAAUCGUCAAGAUGGCACCUUAGUUAUGAAAUAUUGUCCUAUAAAAUCACAAAACAACCUAGCUUUGAUAAAACAUAUAAAACUGUACUAUGGCUAGACGUCUCUGCAAGGAUGGGAAAAUUUAGUUUAGGUUGUCAUUGGCUGUUUGCUUGGUUUUACAGUGCACCAACUCAGUAUAGGUCAUAUGGCGAUGAAACCGGAAAGGUGAUUUUGGCUACCCUUGGAUGUUACAAUCUUCAAAGCAUCACCAGGGGUCAAAACCACCCCAACUGUAAAGAGCCAAGAGAUGCAUAGACUCCAGUUAUUUGAACCCAUUUAGUCACCUCAAAUUGCAGCAGUAUUCAAAAAUUUAACAUAGGAAAAUUGCGGAUAGGGAUAUUGUAAAACAAGAGUGAAAAUAUGCAAGGAGAGUGAAUUUUGCAACCGCAGUACUGCUUGGAAGACCACUACUAGAGAAUGUGAACUAGUAUUGGAUGAUAAGAGAAAGAACUAAUUUGGUUCAGUAUCAAGAUAUUUGUAGCAGGUCUAUUAUUCCUGUGGUACUCCUUAACUGCGUGACGAACAAUAGAACCGGAAACCGGUAUCAUGACACAGUGCUCGAUAUCAUAGACAACCUUGUUUACAUUUAUGAUUGUUUGCGAUUAAUGACAAAAUAUGUAUAUAUAGAAACAGACACUCGAGAAGUGAUCAGUCAGUUUCAUCAAAAUAGAGGGUUUGGUCGUAAGCGCGGGCCAAGAUAAAAAUCUCCAAUAUAUUGUAAGGGGCAAGCGAAGCAAGUAAAAAAAGUACACGAGGGAUGAUAUUAGAGUAAAUACAUUUGUUUACAUAACGUCUAAACAAUUAUUGUUUAGCAGCUUUUGAAGAAAACUGUUUCGAAAACGUUUAGAAAUUAUUGCACUUAAAUGCUGUAUUUUAUUUUAUUUGUAUGAUUUAAUUUCCUGCCUGGUAAAAUUGGGAGAGAUAACAUUUUUAUUAUAAUAGCUUUGGGCUUGUCAGUUUGCCUAUACAGAGUCAGUGAAGAAGAAAUUAUAUUUCAUCGCACAUGGUUGCGAUAUUAUAUUUAUAGAAAAGCCAUGAAUAUAUUUUGUACGUUAAUGUAAUUUAUUUCAUAUUUUUGCUGUUAUUAUCUUAUCUCGAAUUGCUUUGACUAUGAGUAAAAUAACAUGUAGCUUGA
Ruditapes philippinarum (Manila clam) is the source of this 1716-nucleotide long non-coding RNA. RefSeq lists it as uncharacterized. The record is from RefSeq and is a predicted model, not a curated record. Lineage: Eukaryota; Metazoa; Mollusca; Bivalvia; Venerida; Veneridae. The transcript has 5 exons.